GACGAACGCUGGCGGCGUGCUUAACACAUGCAAGUCGAACGGAAAGGCCUGCUUUCCCUUGUGGAUUGCGGGUACUCGAGUGGCGAACGGGUGAGUAACACGUGAGUGAUCUGCCCCCAACUUGGGUAUAAGCCUGGGAAACUGGGUCUAAUUCCCGAUAGGACUGCAGGGUGGUGCCUGUGGUGGAAAACGAUUUUCUAGUGGUUGGGGAUGAGCUCGCGGCCUAUCAGCUUGUUGGUGGGGUAAAGGCCGACCAAGGCGGCGACGGGUAGCCGGCCUGAGAGGGUGGACGGCCACAUUGGGACUGAGAUACGGCCCAGACUCCUACGGGAGGCAGCAGUGGGGAAUAUUGCACAAUGGGCGGAAGCCUGAUGCAGCGACGCCGCGUGGGGGAUGACGGCCUUCGGGUUGUAAACUCCUUUCGACCGCGAGGAAGCCACCUGGUUGGAAGGGUGGUGACGGUAGUGGUAGAAGAAGCACCGGCUAACUACGUG
RNAcentral lists this ribosomal RNA (494 nucleotides) under uncultured bacterium. RNAcentral's name for it is "partial 16S ribosomal RNA". It matches the Rfam family "Bacterial small subunit ribosomal RNA", at positions 28 to 507 of the family's 1533-position model. The record is from RNAcentral.